UACGAGGGGGGCGAGCGUUGUUCGGAAUUAUUGGGCGUAAAGGGCGCGUAGGCGGUGCGGUAAGUCACCUGUGAAACCUCUAGGCUUAACCUAGAGCCUGCAGGCGAAACUGCCGUGCUUGAGGGUGGGAGAGGUGCGUGGAAUUCCCGGUGUAGCGGUGAAAUGCGUUGAGAUCGGAAGGAACGCCCGUGGCGAAAGCGAGGUCCUGGACGUCUGCUGACGCUGAGACGCGAAAGCCAGGGGAGCGAACGGG
Molecule: ribosomal RNA, 253 nt
Filed under: uncultured bacterium
Lineage: Bacteria
Description: partial 16S ribosomal RNA
Rfam family: Bacterial small subunit ribosomal RNA
Source: RNAcentral